CAAGAUCUGGGGAUAUUGAGUUAAAACAAGAAAAAAAAGUUAAUGUUAAACGAAUUUUCAAAACAAAUAUAUUUAUAGAAGGGAAUUAAAUGUGAAAAUGGAUAGACAUGGGUAAAAAGUCGGAGACUAACGAACCUUACUGGAAAUUGGAAAAGCACCAGAAGAAAGAUUCUUGACGUGGAGGCGAAGUUGCUGCUGAAUGUCGAUGAUGAUGAUGUGAUGCUGCUUUUGAGACGCUGCAAUUUCUACGCAUACAUGUGUUAGAGAAUUUAAGAAUACGGAGGCAAGGAACAAAACAAAAUUUGUUAGGAUUUGAGACGUGUUUGCAUAUUUUCUUUUAAGGUUUUAUUUGUUCUCAUCAGUCUUUGUUUGUUAUAGAAUUUUAAUGGUAAAUUAUCCCAAGAUAUAUUAAAUCUUGAAUAUAAUCUCUAACAAAUAAGAUUGUAUUUCUAGAAUAUAUAUGAAACCUAUAAAAUCUGAUUAUUUUUUCUAUUUGUAUGUCUUUCUUUAAUAAAGAAGAUGUUUAUUGAAAGAAUACAACCAUUGAAAAUUAUACUUCUUCAAAGACACUCUUUUGGUUUUAAUUUGCAUCGAUUGACAAAUGAAAUUUUCAAGCUUGCUAACCGUUUUUCCAGUUGACGUCUCUCUGAAAAUAAACGGUUAGCCAUUUUCUCAAUAAAACGGUGAGUCGUUUUGUUCCAGAAUGUCAAAUACGUUGCUCUCUGUAAAUAAACGGUUAGUAGUUUUCUCAAUAACGGUGAGCUGUUUUCUCUAGAACAUAAAACAUGCUCUCUGGAGUUAAACGGUUAGUUGUUUUCUCCAGAAACGGCAAACCGUUUUCUUCCAGAAUAUCAAACCAAAGAUUGAAAAAUGUUACAAUUUCUCUUACAAUCCCCCACUAGAUUGUAAUAUUUUUUAGAUUUAUUAAUGAUAAAACUUAUACAUACAAAAAGGUAUCUUUCGAUUUUAACCUUUAAUUAGUAAGUGUAUUUCAAAGCAUUUACAAGACAAUAGUGUGCUAAGCAUUAAACUUUGUCUCUUAAGUAAAUACCGGAGAUACAUCACAUAUAAGCUAUCCCAGAUUUCAAAGUUGUGUUCCAAUAUUUAGCACUAAUCCGGCCUUGUGCUUUAUCUUGGAUUCAUGAACAUUUACAAGAUUAAACCAUGAUCUUGUUAGAAACGGCAUCAUUUCUUAUGUUCACUUAGUUGAAGUUUCAAAUCACGUCUUUAGCUACUAUAAGACUUGAACUUCAUUAAGAGUAAAUACUCAACCUCAACCUCAUAGCUAUUUGUACCGAAUAUCUCGAAUGAGAUUAUUUAUUAUUCGGUGUCGAACCAGUCACAUAACAACAACUUGUUAUUACCCAUUUAACUAUGGAGUAGCGGUAUAAUUACUACAUAGUUGGGUUACCGUCGUUGGUGACUUUAUUAUUUAAAGGUUUCAAUCCCAUUCCAAAAGAUGUAUCUUUAACUAAGUCUCUUGUAAGACCUUUUGUUAAAGGAUCUGCUAGGUUCUUAUUAGUCAUAACAUAAACAAUAUUAAUAACACCAUCUACUAUUAAUUGUUUGACAUAUUCAUGUCUCAAGCUAAUAUGUUUAGACUUUCCAUUAUACACUUUAUUAUAAGCUCUAGACAAUGUAGCUUCACUAUCGCAGUACAAAGAAAUAGAUGGCAUCAGUUGUGGCCACAUCAUUAUAUCAAACAACAAAUUUCUCAACCAUUCUGCUUCCUUGCCUGCAGCAACAAGUGCUAUAAACUCACUUUCCAUUGUUGAAUGAGUUAUGCACGUUUUGUUUCUUUGAAGCCCAAGAAACCGCUCCUCCAGCAAUUGUAAAAAUCCAACCAGAAGUGGAUUUAUUAUCUCUUGUAUUGGUUACCCAACUAGCAUCUUAAUAUACUUCUAGUACUUCAGGAUAAUCAUUAUAAGACAAACCCAAAUUAAUGAUCCUUUAAAGAUAACCAAGUAUCCUACAAAUUGCUUUCCAGUGUUAAACACUAAGGUUACUCGUGAAUCUUGACAUUUUGCAAACUGCAAAUGCUAUAUCAGGCCUCGUACAAUGCAUAACAUACAUCAAGCUACCAAUAACACUAGCAUAUUCUAGUUGCGCUACUACUCGGCCUGAAUUUUCUAGUAAUUUAAUACUAGAAUCAUAUGGGGUAUUAGCUUCUUUAAAUUUCAAAUAAUUGAAUUUAAGAAUCACUUUCUCUAUAUAAUGAGAUUGACACAACGAGUAACCCCCACUAUGUUUAUUCACUUUGACACCUAAGAUAGUAUCUACUUUACCAAGAUCUUUCAUCUUAAAUUGUGAAGUUAAAUACUUCUUUGUAUCAUCUACUCCUUGCAUAUUUGUUCCAAAGAUAAGCAAGUCAUCAACAUACAAGCAUAUAAUCACAUCAAAAUCAUUCGUAAAUUUAAAAUAUAUACAUUUAUCAGCAUUAUUAUGCUUAAAACCAUGAGAUAAAAUUACCGAAUAAAACUUCUCAUGCCAUUGUUUUGGUGCUUCCUUUAAACCAUAAAGUGAUUUGACUAACUUGCAUACAUUUUUCUCAUUUCCUGGCAAAACAAAUCCCUCAUGUUGUUCCAUAUAGAUUUCUUCAUCAAGAUCACCAUUAAGAAAAGCGGUUUUAACAUCCAUUUGAUGCACAUAUAAAUUGUUCAAUGAAGCAAUUGCAAAUAACACUUUUAUAGAAGUUAACCUUGCUACCGGAGCAUAUGUAUCGAAAUAAUCAAUACUAUUUCUUUGCUUAAACCCUUUGGCUACUAAUCUAGCCUUAAAAGUUUGCAAAGAACCAUCACUAUUGUACUUUCUUCUAAAUACCCAUUUGCUGCUAAUUGGUUUAAAUCCUGGAGGAAGAUCAACCAAGACCCAUGUUUGAUUAGACAUAAUCGAAUCCAUUUCAUCAUUCACUGCCUCUCUCCAAAAAGAAGCGUCUCUAGAAGACAUAGCUUCGCUAAAUGUCUUUGGAUCUUUUUCAAUAUUUAACAACAAUGGUACUUUGUUAAGUACAUUCUUUCUAUCCUCUUCAACCAACAAGAGUAGUGCUUGUGAUGAAAUAAAAUCCGGAGCUAAACUUUUUUUUUUCUUUUCGUGUUGACUCCUCCUUAGUUCGAAAGAUGUCAUAGACUCUUUCCUUUUAUUAUUGUUAGUGGAGGUAACAAGAGUAUUAACACAUGGUUGAUCAAUAAUUGAUUCUAAUUCAAUAUUAGAAUCAUGUUGAAAUUUAUUCUCAAUAAAUUCAACAUCUCUAGAUUCCACAAUCACAUUAGAAUCUAAAUUUAACAACCUAUAAGCCUUGGAAUUUUCAGCAUAUCCUACGAAAACACUCUUUAUACCUCUAGUACUUAACUUUGAUAAUUUAGGAUCAUGUAUUUUAUAAAAAGUUAAACAGCCUCAGACCCUUAAAUGCAUCAAGUUUGGUUUUCUUCCUUUCCAAAUUUCAUAAGGAGAUAUAUGUGUUUUCAAAGAUGUAAUUCUAUUAUGAAUAUGACAUGCAGUGAGUAAUGCUUCACCCCACAAAUUAUUUGGUAGUUUUGCAUUUAGGAUCAUGAAAUUUAUCAUAUCCGUGAAGAUCAUAUUCUUCCUUUCAGCCAAACCAUUUUGUUGAGGAGUAAAUGGACCUGAUCUUUGGUGAAUAAUUCCAAAUUCUUCACAAUAAUUAUUAAAUUCAAUUGAGAAAUAUUCACCACCUCUAUCACUACGAACCAUUUUGAUUUUCUUAUCUUUUUUGUUCUCAACUUCAGCUUUGAAAAUUUUAAAUUUAUCAAAAACUUCAUUUUUUGUUCUAAGUAAAUACAUAUAAGUGUAUCUAGAACAAUCAUCAAUAAAAGUGAUAAAGUACCUCUUACCUCCUCUUGUUAAAACAUCAAUAUACUCACAAAUAUCGAUAUGUAUUAAAUCCAAUAUUUGAGUAUUUCGUUCGGCUUUAGGAAAAUGUUUCUUAGUUAAUUUAGCUUGGAUGCCGAUUUCACAUUUAUGAUCUUUAACAUCAUUGCAAUUAAUCAAACCAUGCUUAGACAUGUAUUUCAAAGAUCUAAAGUUCAAAUGUGCUAAUCUAGUAUGCCAAACAUCACAAGACUCAACAAUAUAAGCUAAGUUGAUAUUAUUAUUAUUAAUGCUGAGUUUGUACAUUCCAUCACAAGAAUACCCUUUGCAUAAAAAAUAAAACCUUAAAGAUUGUUAGAGAAUUUAAGAAUGUGGAGGCAAAGAACAAAGAAAAUUUCUUAGGAUUUAAGACGUGUUUGCACACUUUCUUUUAAGGUCUUAUUUGCCCUCACCAAUCUUGAUUUGCUAUAGAGUUUUAAUGGAAAAUUACCCCUAAGAUAUAUCAAAUCCUGAAUACAAUCUCUAGCAAAUAAGAUUGUACUUCUAGAACAUAUAUGAAACUUGCAAAAUCUAAUUAUUUUUUUCUAAUUGUAUGUCUUUCUUUAAUGAAGAAGAUGUUUAUUGAAAGAAUACAACCAUUGGAAAUAGUACUUCUUCAAAGACACUCUUUUGGUUUGAAUUUGCAUCGAUUGACAAAUGAAAUUUUCAAGCUUGCUAACCGUUUUUCCAGUUGACACCUCUCUGGAAAUAAACGGUUAGUCGUUUUUUCAAUAAAACGGUGAGCCGUUUUAUUCUAGAAUGUCAAAUACGUUGCUCUUUGUAAAUAAACGGUUAGCAGUUUUCUCAAUAACGGUGAGCCGUUUUCUCUAGAACAUAAAACAUGCUCUCUGGAGUUAAACAGUUAGCCGUUUUCUCAAUAACGGUGAGCCGUUUUCUCUAGAACAUAAAACAUACUCUCUAGAGUUAAACGGUUAGCUGUUUUCUCCGGAAACGGCAAACCGUUUUCUUCCAGAAUAUCAAACCAAAGAUUGAAAAAUGUUACAAUCUCUCUUACAACAUGUAUAGAUAAAGAUUGUAUAUAGACUUGUAUGU
This 4917-nucleotide long non-coding RNA is filed under the name Citrus maxima (pomelo). RNAcentral's name for it is "long non-coding RNA (CMAX_LNC002981)". The record is from RNAcentral. Lineage: Eukaryota; Viridiplantae; Streptophyta; Magnoliopsida; Sapindales; Rutaceae.